UGGGGAAUAUUGCACAAUGGGCGCAAGCCUGAUGCAGCCAUGCCGCGUGUAUGAAGAAGGCCUUCGGGUUGUAAAGUACUUUCAGCGGGGAGGAAGGCGAUAAGGUUAAUAACCUUGUCGAUUGACGUUACCCGCAGAAGAAGCACCGGCUAACUCCGUGCCAGCAGCCGCGGUAAUACGGAGGGUGCAAGCGUUAAUCGGAAUUACUGGGCGUAAAGCGCACGCAGGCGGUCUGUCAAGUCGGAUGUGAAAUCCCCGGGCUCAACCUGGGAACUGCAUUUGAAACUGGCAGGCUAGAGUCUUGUAGAGGGGGGUAGAAUUCCAGGUGUAGCGGUGAAAUGCGUAGAGAUCUGGAGGAAUACCGGUGGCGAAGGCGGCCCCCUGGACAAAGACUGACGCUCAGGUGCGAAAGCGUGGGGAGCAAACA
This 427-nucleotide ribosomal RNA is filed under the name uncultured bacterium. RNAcentral's name for it is "partial 16S ribosomal RNA". It matches the Rfam family "Bacterial small subunit ribosomal RNA", at positions 355 to 774 of the family's 1533-position model. The record is from RNAcentral.